Molecule: long non-coding RNA, 350 nt
Filed under: Selaginella moellendorffii
Lineage: Eukaryota; Viridiplantae; Streptophyta; Lycopodiopsida; Selaginellales; Selaginellaceae
Description: long non-coding RNA (SMOE_LNC000315)
Source: RNAcentral
GGAUCCAGCCACCUUUGGUGAAAAGAUCAUACCUUUCCGGUUCUAAUCCCAGUGCUGUGCAAAUGAGUGCUCGAAGAAUCGACUUGUGAGUUGAUAGAGAAGCUGUGUGAAUUGGAAGGGAUGGACAGGGCCGCUAGAGAACGGGAGACGAACACGAAGAGUUUCGUGUAUGCUCACCGCCCGAGUAACUUGGAGGAGCAUCACCAUGAACACUCAUUCAUUGUACUCAAAAAGACCGCAUCACAAACGAAAGGACUUAACCUUUAUUUAAAGGUUUAUUGACUAAGACAAAAUGGAUUAAGUAAUUUAUUAAUUAAAAACAAAUGAAAUUUAAUUAAUUAACACUUCCC